AAGGUGAAAUUCUCAGAUUAACUAAAGACUAACUUAUGCGAAAGCAUUUGCCAAGGAUGUUUUCAUUGAUCAAGAACGAAAGUAGAUCA
RNAcentral lists this ribosomal RNA (89 nucleotides) under uncultured eukaryote. RNAcentral's name for it is "partial small subunit ribosomal RNA". It matches the Rfam family "Eukaryotic small subunit ribosomal RNA", at positions 908 to 1000 of the family's 1831-position model. The record is from RNAcentral.